GAUUGGUUAAGCUUACAUUUCAUUUUCCUAGACUAUGACCAUUCAUUCUGAGUUAGGUUUGUUUUCUAGCUAGAAACUCCAGGCACUCGAACCGUGUCAGCCUGAUGGCCUCCGGUUUAUGAUCUUAAACACCUGGUGGCCUUUACAGUCUGCUGGGAGAGAUGGAGAUUAAUCAGCCAGUCACACAAAUCAAUCCCAAAUCCACCUGAUUAGCAUGUCAUAAGGCUGAGGGGGCAUUAAUCCAAGAUCAUUAAAGCCAGGUGGUCAGAAAUUGCUGCUGAGCUGGGGUCUGAGGAAGGGCAGGAACAAAUACAACCAAGAAGAGAAGAAAGUUAGCUGCUGUUAUGGAGUGGAAUCAGAGUGUGCAGAGGUCCUGGGGCAGCAGUGAGUAAUUUCAAGGAGUGUCACGGCCAAAACAGAGCACUUGGAAAGUUCUGUUCGUGUGGUUUUGUCCAUGUUCGUGUGUCUAGACCAGGCCCCUCAGGGAUCUGUCUCGUGUGUGUUGCAGGGAUUUUAAGGGGAUCAUCUUGACCCUCCUCUGGGAGAGCAAUGAGAACCUGCUGACAGUCGCAGAGGAGUUCUACCGUAAAGAAAAACGCCCAGUCACCAGGCCUGACUGCAUGUAUGACACCUUUGACCAGUGCGCCGAGAACAUUAGCAAAAAGAUCCUGGAGUACCAGAGCCAGGCAAAUAAGUACCACAACUCCUGCCUCAUAGAAUUACGGAUCCAGAUGAGGAGA
This 740-nucleotide small RNA is filed under the name Pongo abelii (Sumatran orangutan). RNAcentral's name for it is "processed transcript". The record is from RNAcentral. Lineage: Eukaryota; Metazoa; Chordata; Mammalia; Primates; Hominidae.